CCUACGGGAGGCUGCAGUGAGGAAUAUUGGUCAAUGGCCGGAAGGCUGAACCAGCCAUGCCGCGUGAAGGUCAGUGCCCUAUGGGCGUUAAACUUCUUUUGUGCGGGAGCAAUAAUGGUCACGUGUGGCCAGACGAGAGUACCGUACGAAUAAGCAUCGGCUAACUCCGUGCCAGCAGCCGCGGUAAUACGGGGGAUGCAAGCGUUAUCCGGAUUUAUUGGGUUUAAAGGGUGCGUAGGCUGUGGGGUAAGUCAGCGGGGAAAUGCCCCCGGUCAACGGGGGGAAGGGCCAUUGAUAAUGCCUUGCUGGAAUGCGGAUGCCGUGGGAGGAAUGUGUGGUGUAGCGGUGAAAUGCAUAGAUAUCACACAGAACACCGAUUGCGAAGGCAUCUCACGAAUCCGCGAUUGACGCUGAUGCACGAAAGCGUGGGUAUCAAACAGGAUUAGAUACCCCAGUAGUC
Molecule: ribosomal RNA, 460 nt
Filed under: uncultured bacterium
Lineage: Bacteria
Description: partial 16S ribosomal RNA
Rfam family: Bacterial small subunit ribosomal RNA
Source: RNAcentral